Molecule: non-coding RNA, 1672 nt
Organism: Myodes glareolus (Bank vole)
Lineage: Eukaryota; Metazoa; Chordata; Mammalia; Rodentia; Cricetidae
Source: RefSeq, a predicted model, not a curated record
CUUUCAGAGAACUUUUCUUAAAGGAGCCGCACGGGUUUGGGUGGAACUUGAGGUGCCCGGCAGGCGCGCUGCAUCCCCAGCCGGAGCGGCGGUGCUCCCGCUUCCGUGCCUUGAUGUGGGGUUGUAGACUGUCUUGAGCACCGCAUUCAUCCCCAGAUUCCUGGGGGCUCCCGCCCAGCGCUUUUCCUCGCGCGCGGCGGCUUGGGGGCCGGGUUCUCGGGGUGAAGGCGGGGAAGGGGGAGGGCGGCAAACACCUGAUCUUGAGCUCGGCACCCGGUGGUUGUGCUGAGUGACCUUGAGGAAAUCACUUCCCCUCUCUGGCCGGAGGCUUCCAACCCAGAGGGUGGGAAUUAGAGUACAAAAUCUCCCCCCUCCUCCCCACUCCCGUCAACUCAAAGAGGAAUUUUAGGGAGCCUACUCGUUUUCUGCUACGGGAAGGGGUACCUCGAAUGACCUAGAAGGUUCCGUUCGUUACCUCCAGCCCACUUUUAAGAUUCCUCACGGCUUGCUCUUUUUCCGCUCCAAUUCCGAAUCCCAGGGUGGGAGGGAGGGAAGAGCGGGCUGACGCCUAGGGCGGGGUCACCUAGACUCCCACCCCACGGUGGCCGGGGGUGCGGCCUUAGGGUCGGAUUUUCCCCCUACAGUAUAAACGCUGACCCGGACCGUCUGCUGCCUACAGCUUGUAAAACCGGCCCCUGGCCCUGACUGCCCUGCGGAGCCGUCGGAGCGUUGGGGUCCUUUUCUCCGCACCCCUCCCCCGGUCAUCUUUGGGCAGCUGUAGCUGAGCGGUGAGGGGUCCUGGCCCGGGUCAGGCGUUCCCGAGCGCGAUCUGCUGGGCCGACUUAACGCAUGGAACUUGGGUCUUAGUAUCGGGAUUUGGGGCGAGAGGCCGCGCUUAGAGACGGUGAACGUGAAAACCCUUGGUCUGCACUCCUGUACCAAUUAGGAACCUUGACCUUGGGCAGUGGCUUAGUCCCUGAGAACUUCCCUGUGCCGACUUGCCAAAUAGUUAGCUCCGUCAAGCGUGAGAGCUGUUGUGGCCGACCUCCCUGAUAACUUGUCGUCCUAAUAUGUCAUCUCACGGCUGCUGCUUUGUUUCAUUUUGUGUUUCAGCCCAGGCUGGCCUCAAACUUGAAAUCUGCCUCAGCCUCCCGACUACUGGAAAACAGGCCUGAACCACCACACUCAGCUAUUUCUACUAGACUGCAGACAGGAAGUGUUGUCUAAUUCCCUGGAGCCAUUUCAGGCCAGGUGUGGCGUACAUAACCGGAUGCUGGGCAGAAGCCAGAACUAAGCUUCCAUGAUGUCACUGCCUUCAAGAGACAUACCGCUCCCAGCUCUUCUCAGUGCUGCCAGCUACUCUCAAGAGAGAGUCUCAGCCGGGCACAGCAGUACACGCCUAAUCCCAGCCCUGGAGAGGAUCUGAGAACUGGAUGCCUGCUCAUUCUCCAUAGUGAACUCAAAGCAACAAGAGCAAACGAAUGGAAGGUACAGCCUCUUGCCUCAUUCUGGGUCCAAACCCAUUUGUGACCAUUGACAACUGUUAGAAUACACCAGGCCCCAGUUCAGUCUCCAGGACCAAAACACAAAGCAACUAUUAGAGCAUAAACAGAACAAAAAAGAAGUUGUUUGGUAAAGUGAAAAGUAUUAAAACAUUUAUUAUACUCCUCAG